Molecule: non-coding RNA, 2533 nt
Organism: Kogia breviceps (pygmy sperm whale)
Lineage: Eukaryota; Metazoa; Chordata; Mammalia; Artiodactyla; Physeteridae
Source: RefSeq, a predicted model, not a curated record
UCCUUUGCCUGAGGAUACAUAUCCAGAAAGAGACUACUAAGACUGAUGUGAAAAGUAUACUGCCUAUGUUUCCUUCUAGGAGUUCUAUGGUUUCUGGUUUUACAUUCAAGUCUUUAAUCCAUUUUGAGUUAAUUUUUAUGUAUGGUGUAAGAUAGGGUCUAGUUUCAUUCUUCUGCAUGUGCUAUCCAGUUUUCCCAACACAAUGUAUUGAAGAAACUGUCCUUUCUCCAUUGUAUGUUCUUUGCUCCUUUGUUGUAAAUUAAUUGUCCAUAAAUGUAUGGGUUUAUUUCUGGGCUCUCAAUUGUGUUCCAUUGAUUUAUGUCUGUUUUUCUGCCAAUACCAUGUGGUUUUGAUUAUUAUAGUUUUGUAGUAUAAUUUGAAAUCAGGGAGUGUAAUACCUCUGCUUUGAUCAUUUUUCCUCAAGAUUGCUUUGGCUAUCCAAGUCUUCUGCAGUUCUAUACAAAUUGUAGGAUUUUUUGUGCUAUUUCUAUCAAAAAUGUCAUUGGUAUUUUGAUGGGGAUUUCACUGAAUCCAUAGGUUGCUUCAGGUAAUGUGGAUAUUUUAACAAUGUUAAUUUUUUUAACAUGAGCAUGGACUAUCUUUCCAUUUCUUUGUGUCUUAUUCAAUUUCUUUCAACAAUGUCUUAUAGUUUUCACUUCUUUGGAUUAAUUUACUACUAAGUAUUUUAUUCUUUCUGUUGUGAUUGUAAAAGGAAAUGUUUCCUUAAUUUCUCUUUAUGCUAGUUCAUUCUUAGUGUACAGAAAUGCAACAGAUUUCUGUAUGCUGAUUUUGUAUCCUACAACUUUACUGCAUUCAUUUAUUAUUUUUAAUAGUUUUUCUGUGGAAUCUUUAGGGUUUUCUAUAUAUAAAAUCAUGUUACCCACAAAUAGUGACAGUUUUACUUCUUCCUUUCCAAUCUGGAUUUCUUUUUCUUACCUAAUUGUUCUAGCUAGGACUUCAGUACUAUGUUGAGUAAGAGUGGCAAGGUGGCAAGAGUGGGUAUCCUUCUCUUGUUCCAAAUCUUAAGAGAAAAAAUUUUCAGUUUUUCACCAUUCAGUAUGAUGUUAGCUGUGGGUUUGUCACAUAGGGCUUUUAUUAUGUUGAUGUAUGCUCCUUCAUUUUAUUGAGUUUUUUCUUUUAAAAUCAUAAAUGGGUGUUGACUCUUGUCAUAUGCUGUUUCUUGGGCAUCUAUUGAUAUAAUCAUGAUUUUUGUCCUUCAUUUUUGUUAAUGUGUUGUAUCAUGUUGAUUGAUUUGUGGAUACUGAACCAUCCUUACAUCCCUGGAAUAAAGCCCACUUGAUCAUGGUGGAAGCCCCUUUUAGUGUAUUUCUAUAUUCAGUUUGCUAAUGUUUUGUUGAGAAUGUUUACAUCUAUGUUUGUCAGACAUACUGGCCUGUAAUUAUCUUUUUUGUAUGUUGUUCUUGUCUGGUUUUGGUAUUAGGGUAAUGUUGGCCUCAUAAAAAGAGUUAUGAAGUGUUCCCUUCUCUUCUAGUUUUUGGAAGCAUUUGAGAAGAAUUGGUAUUGUCUUUAAAUGUUUGGUAGAAUUCAGCAAUUAAGUUGUCUGGUCCUGGAUGUGUUUCUUAGGAGGUUUUUGAUUACUGUUUCCAUCUCCCUACUAGUGAUUGAUCUAUUCAGAUUUUCUAUUUCACGUGGAUUCAGUCUUGGAAGAAUGUGUGAUUCUAAGAAUUGAUCCAGUUCUUCUAGGUUGUCCAAUUUUUUGAUGCAGAGCUGUUCACAGUAUUCUUUGAUAAUCCUUUGUAUUUCUGUGAUAGUGGCUGUAAUGUUUCCUUGUUUCUGAUUUUAUGUAUCUACACCUUCUCUUUUUUCUUAGUGUGUCUAGCUAAAGGUUUGUCAAUUUUCUUUAUCUCUUUAAAGAACCAGUUUCAUUGACUUUUUUUCCAUUGCCUUUUUUAGUCUCUAUUUCAUUUAUUUCUGCUCUGAUUUUUAUUUUCUUCCUUAUAUUGAUUUUAGACUUUGUUCUUUUCCCCCCCUAGUUCCUUUAGGUGUAAUGUUAGACUGUUUAUUUGAGAUAUUUCUUGUUUCUUAAGGUAGGCCUUAUUGCUAUAAACAUUCCUCUAAGUACUGCUUUUGCUACAUCCCAUAGAUUUUGAUAUGUUGUAUUUUCAUUUUAUUUGUGUUCAGGUAUUUUUUGAUUUCUCCUUUUGAUUUCUUCAUUGACCCAAUAGUUGUUCAGUAGCAUGUUGUUUAGUCUCCACAUAUUUGUGAUUUUUCCAGCUUUCUUCUUGUAUUGAUAGUUGAUCAGGCCAUGGCGGUGGAAAAGAUGCCUGAUAUGAUUUCAAUAUUUAAAUUCAUUGUGACUUCUUUUGUGUUCCAACAUAUGGUAUAUUUUUGAAAAUGUUCCAUGUGCAAUUUAAGAAGAAUAUGUAGUCUGCUGCAUUUGGAUGAAAUGAUGUGUAUAAAUAUCUUAAGUCCACUGUUUCACUUAAGGACUAUGUUUCCUUUUUGACUUUAUGUUUGAAUGAUAUAUACAUUUCUCUAUGAAUUCUUGAAUUUCUUUCAUCAAUGUUUUAUA